Molecule: small nucleolar RNA, 131 nt
Filed under: Procavia capensis (Cape rock hyrax)
Lineage: Eukaryota; Metazoa; Chordata; Mammalia; Hyracoidea; Procaviidae
Description: Small nucleolar RNA SNORA9 (ENSPCAG00000020156.1)
Source: RNAcentral
CUGCAAGGCUCGGUGUGCUUAGUUCUGAAGUGGCCUGGUGUGUCCUUGCGGGGCUUGCAAAACCAUUCUCACAAGAUCUGAGACUGCUCUGUACAACCUACAGAGGAUAGCCAUAGAAGUUUCAGACAAAU